AACGUAGGAGACGAACGUUAUCCGGAGUUACUGGGCGUAAAGGGCGCGUAGGCGGCGCGGGAAGUCCGUGGUGAAAGCCCGAGGCUCAACUUCGGGUCGGCCAUGGAUACUCCUGGGCUUGAGCACUGUAGAGGCAGGUGGAAUUCCGGGUGUAGCGGUGGAAUGCGUAGAGAUCCGGAAGAACACCGGUGGCGAAGGCGGCCUGCUGGGCAGUAGCUGACGCUGAGGAGCGAAAGCGUGGGUAGCAAACAGG
This 253-nucleotide ribosomal RNA is filed under the name uncultured bacterium. RNAcentral's name for it is "partial 16S ribosomal RNA". It matches the Rfam family "Bacterial small subunit ribosomal RNA", at positions 524 to 776 of the family's 1533-position model. The record is from RNAcentral.